This is a non-coding RNA of Cinara cedri, 1345 nucleotides long. The record is from the annotation of a GenBank genome assembly. NCBI's taxonomy places the organism in Eukaryota, Metazoa, Arthropoda, Insecta, Hemiptera, Aphididae.
CAGCUUUCAUGAGCGUAUAAAAAGCCGUUCGUGGUCUCCAUUCGAGCAUAACACAUAUUUUGUGCAAUUUUCAACUAUUUGGUGAGUGCUAAAUGUAUAUUGAAGUGAAAUAUUAUAAUGUUUACUUUUAUUUUUUAAUUGUAGUCUUUACUUUGUCUCAACGAAAACCAACAAAAUGGGCGCCGAAAAAGUAUUCAUGAACAUCGUUGUCGUCGGACAAAUGCAAUCCGCCAAGGCCGUCAAAAUCGUCGCCAAAAUCGCACCAUCAGCAAGCCAAUCGAUAACGGUGAGUUGACAUACAAUACAUUUUUUGAAUUUUUACCAAAACUCCUAGAUUUCGUCUUGCUUCAAUUUUACAUAGCCACCCUCAUUCAUGCCCUUCAUUUCGAAAAUUACAUUUUCUCCCAAUUAUAAUAAAUUCAAAAUAAUGUGAAAUUAUAUAAAAUUUAAUCCCUAAUACCUUUCCCGUUGGCUGAAUUUUUUUUCCAACUAAAGUGAAUUAUUAUAUACUAGUUUUAAAAUUUAUUAUGAUAUUGUUAUAUUUUUGCAAUAAAAUUAAUAUUUGCAUAAAUAAUAUCAGUGGAUAAUGUUAUACGUUCAUAAAGAAAACAGAAAAAGAAAAAAAUAUUAUUAUAAUAACUAAUGUAAAUAUUAAUAAUAUUAUUAGGAAAUAAAUUUACUGAAGUAUGAUAAAAUAAAAUAUGUUGUUUUGAAAGUAUCUUCUAACGAAAUACGUCCGUGAACAAAAAAAUUAAUUGUUUAGAAUGUUAACUAAAACAAAUAUUUAAAUAUUUAAAUAAAAACAAAUAAUUAUGUAUUUCGCAUUCUGAAAUAUUACAAAUAUUACAACAACUGUUUAUAUAUAAUUCAACAAUAACGUUAUCCUUUCCAUAAAACAUGGUGCGUUAAAAAAAAAAUUAAUUAGUUGUACAUACUUAGAAUAUUUAAUUGAAUUAAUGCAUUAAUUAUUUUUAUUAUUAUUUUUUGUUUUUGCUUCAGAACUGUUAAUUCUCGGGCGGAUCUUCAACAUGACCCGAAAAUAUGCCUUAGGUCGAAAAUGCCGAUACGUAUAUUAUUUUUAUAAAUAAAUUCUAUUUAAAAUUAUGUAUUUACAUCACACAGCAAUAAACCAUUCUGUCGUUUAGUUGGUUUUGUUUUUCAUUUAUUUAUCGCUGCCCAUUACGCUUUUAACCGUAAGAACCUAAAGGUCACAAUCGAAUACCUACCCAAAACUAUAACUAAAACAAACAAAACGGUUGGAUAAAGGAUAGAUAAAAAAACAAACUACACACGUUUUGGGUUUUGUUUUGAUAAUAAUUGUAAUAUUACAUUAUUGUGUUCCUUU